UUUAAAUUUUGUUGACAUACAUAUAUAUGUACAUAUAAUCUCUUUUCACAUUUUGGUAGUAUUGAAGAUGAUCAAGCAAAGAAGACUUUGCUUGCUAUUGUUCGUGAAAGGUGGCCCGUUGGACAUUACACGUUCACCGACAUUGUUGAAUAUGAUGAUGAAUGGCUAAAACACGUAGUCGAGGAAUUUAAUUUAUAUUUCAAGCAACAAAAGGGACAAAGCCGGUCCGAAGCAAAAAAUAUAAUUGAGAAGCAUAUCAAGAACACAAUAAAGAGGACGUUGAAUGAGCUCAAGACAAAUAUUGAGCAAAAAUCAAAGGAAAGCGGAAAAUCAAAAUUGAGUUUAAGACCUGGAUAUUGGUCUGAACUUUUUUGGAAGGAUUUAUUAAAUUAUUGGGAAAAGAAUGAGGGGCACUUGCAUAGGUCAUCCGUUGGAUCUACGAACCGCAAGAACGUCGAGCGGUUGCAUAGUGCCGGUGCCCGGUCUUUUAAUAAAGUGAAGGAGG
Long non-coding RNA from Daucus carota subsp. sativus, 505 nucleotides. RefSeq lists it as uncharacterized. The transcript is spliced from 2 exons. NCBI's taxonomy places the organism in Eukaryota, Viridiplantae, Streptophyta, Magnoliopsida, Apiales, Apiaceae. The record is from RefSeq and is a predicted model, not a curated record.